GAGGCCAACUAGUUAGAUCACACUUCCCACCAAGAGCACAUGGAAAACAUUGCACAUAUGAAAGCUGUCAUGCAGAACCUGGGUGUGCAAGGACUUCAGUUGGGUGCAAAACCAAUUUAGAAGUCAAAAAUCCUUCACAGACCUAAUCCGAAAGCUAUGCUACCAAUCCGGAAAUCAACCCAUUUCAUCUUAGCUUUUGUUCCUAUGCUUCCCUUGGCU
Molecule: long non-coding RNA, 219 nt
Filed under: Vigna radiata
Lineage: Eukaryota; Viridiplantae; Streptophyta; Magnoliopsida; Fabales; Fabaceae
Description: long non-coding RNA (VRAD_LNC006851)
Source: RNAcentral